CGCUGACACGAUCUCGUCUCAUUCAAGGCAAAACAAGACACCUGGUUGCAAAGAUGGAAUGGUGCACGUUCAAAGCCACGACACCAGUACGGACGGAAACAAACUCAAAGUCGCAUGUUGUGCAGUAUAUUGGCAGUGGCACAUGCUUUCAUGAAUACAUCAGCAAUGGCUGGUUUAUUGUCACGGGACAUCCGGUUAUGAACAUUCAAGAAGACCAUCUGAUGCCAUAUGAUGAAUGCAAACUGCUUGAUGCCAGUGAUUGGUUAGCUGAAAUACCCAGUCUUAAAACUGGCAGUUCCCAUCACUCAGUAGUUUGGAUGCCUUGCCUCGUGGAUGGACAGCUCAAUGUUUGCUUUGCUGCCUCCUUCGAAGCUUGUACAAGAAAUUCGUCCUUGGAUGGUUGUCCCCCAAUGAAGAGUGCGGAGAAAAGAGUUCUGCUUGACCACACAAACAUGUGUGAUUUUAAAGCAGACAACAUGUGCUCAUGAAGAAUGUUCAGCAAGGCGACGACUUAAACUGGAUUCGACACCAGUCAUUUACUCCAACAGAUGACACCGGCCCGGAUUUCGACCAUACACUAAAAAAAGUUUUUGCAAUGAUGUUUAGGAGGAUACAGUAUAUAAAAGGGAACUACAUGUUCAUCGAGUCAAGCACCCCUCGGGUCCAGAACGAGACGGCCUGGCUGGUGAGUCCACUUAUACAGUCCCCGGGAACCCAUUUCCAGUGCUUCCAGUUCUGGUAUCACAUGAAAGGUUCGUCGGUGGGUCAGCUGAACGUGUACCAGAUACAAAAUGGCCUCCUCACAUGCAAUCUCGUCUGGAGUUUGUCCGAGCAACAGGGCCCUGAUUGGUUGUCUGGGCAAGUUCCACUUAACGCUACAGUGGGGUACAAGGUAUUCUUUGAUGCGUUUUAAGUGUCUUCGCAUUGAUAGCGUUUUCGGAUGUUGGUAAGAAGAUAGUUGUUGACAAUAUGCAAAGUUAAUAUCAAUAAUUUUUGUAUUACGCGAUUGUUAAUUAAGAAUUAGUAAAGGCUAAAGGGAACGGUUACGAGGGUGACAUAGUAGUUAACGACUUCAACCUGACCACAUGAUUCUGUUCAUCACUGCCCGUGAAGGCUUCCAGAACUAAUCUUACAAACACAGGUGGGACACGGUCACUGUCUCGCAUAAAAAUCCUUUAGACAUAUUUGAAUUUUUUUAUUGAAUAUCUUAAGGAGUUUCAGUGUGUACUUGUUGCUUGCAACCUCAACCUGUAGAAGAUGCAGAGAUAUGAACAUGUUGCAAACUUGCAAACUUAAGCCUGAACAUGCACACAAUGUUGAGUCAUGAACAUUAGCGCAUCAGUUGUAUGUGGCUUAACAAUGUUGAGUCAUUAACACCAUCGCGUCAGUUGUAUGUGACUUUACAAUGUUGAGUCAUUAACACCAUCGCCCUAUUACCAUAUAGAAUUUCAUUGUUAAGUUAUUGACACCAUGGCAUCAUUAGUAUGGAACUGUAGACUGUUAUGCUAUAAACAUCACUGCGAUAUCAGCACGGAACUGAACUAUGUUUAGUGAUUAAAACCAUUGCAUCAGUAGCAUGGAAAUGUACCCUGUUAAGUCGUUUACACCAUCGCAUCAGUUGUUUGGGAUCGCACAAUGUUUAGUCAUUAACACCACCGCCAUGGUAGCAUGGAACUUAACCAUGUUAAGUCAUAAACACAAUCGCAUCAGUAGUAUUAAAUUGUGUUUAUUGGUUACAUUAUCGCACUAGGAGCGUGAUACGUUUUGUUGGUUACUCGUUAAAUUUUUGCGCAAGUAGCAUGGAAAUGCGCUUUACUAGUAAAUAUUGUCACACUAGUAGAACUGUACAGUUCAUUUACUCUUUCUUCCUAGGUAAGAUUUCACUAUGAAAAAAUGUUUUAACUAUGUUUGAAAAUUAAGCCGCAGUUAGUUGUUACGCCCUAUGCCGCAAAAUAAACCAUGCGUUGAGCAAGUGUUAAUUCGAAAUCCCACAACAAAAGAUUUGAAAGGGGCAAUACUGGUGUCACCGUUUUGUUUGGUCUGUCAGUUGGUCUUAUACUAAAAAUAACACAAGUUUACGUCUGUUUGUCUUUGUUUAUUUAUGACCACCAAACCUUAUCUAGUAAGGAACUAAACAUCAUUUACACCAUCACACCAGUAGCAUGGAACUGCAUCUUUGUUAAUAGCUAACAUUAUUUCACUAGCAGCCCUGGUACUGUACGUUGUUUACGUGUUAAACCAUCGUACCAGUAGCAUUAAAUGCGGCUUGUUGCAUUGUUAAACACUAUCACCUACGUGUAAUGGUAUUAAACGUUGUUUACUCACUUACAUAAUGAAACUAGUAGCAUGAAAUGUAAGUGUUUGUUUUUUAACGGUACGCUGGUUACUCGUAAGCAUCAUCGCACCAGUGGUAUAGAAGUGUUUAUCAUUUUUUCAUGAAUAAAAUCGGCAUCGCAUCAGCAAAUACACUGUGUUUAAUGAUUAACUGAAUCAUGUUCACUAAUUGACUCAUCAUGAUAUUCUCUUUUAUGUUUUCCAGGCACUUUGUCCGCCCAACAGCGGCUCCGCAUCCUUUCCAGUGCACAGUGUGUAAAGUCAACCCGCAGCUGUGCUUUGUCCUCACCAAGGUGGAGAUGUAUCCUGACUCCUACUGUAUCAAUGAAGUCACAAACAAGGAAGACGGCGCCAAAUGGGUUGACAGAAUGCACGUAAUGCACCCCUCUGCUAUAACUUGUUCGAACGUUAGACCUGCCAAUCUUAAGAAAAAUCGUGUUACCACUCGAGUCAUCAAUAAAGCGUACGU
Long non-coding RNA from Dreissena polymorpha, 2803 nucleotides. RefSeq lists it as uncharacterized. NCBI's taxonomy places the organism in Eukaryota, Metazoa, Mollusca, Bivalvia, Myida, Dreissenidae. The record is from RefSeq and is a predicted model, not a curated record. The transcript is spliced from 8 exons.